RNAcentral lists this unclassified non-coding RNA (201 nucleotides) under uncultured fungus. RNAcentral's name for it is "sequence contains ITS1". Lineage: Eukaryota; Fungi. The record is from RNAcentral.
GUAUAGUUUAUUGGCUCAAAAGCCAUACUACAAUCCAUAAUAAAUCAUGUGUAAUAAAAACAUAGACAGGGACGUCAAUCCCAUUGUCUACGAAAGGUGCACAGGUGGAUGUAAAGGUUGAGAGUGCACAUUGCCCUUUGAAAGGCCAGCACAUCUCAUUUGAAAUCAAUAAUGAUCCUUCCGCAGGUUCACCUACGGAAA